This 221-nucleotide ribosomal RNA is filed under the name uncultured bacterium. Its description in RNAcentral is "partial 16S ribosomal RNA". It matches the Rfam family "Bacterial small subunit ribosomal RNA", at positions 114 to 334 of the family's 1533-position model. The record is from RNAcentral.
CACGUGAGGAACCUGCCCUGGAGACCGGGAUAACUCCCCGAAAGGGGGUGCUAAUACCGGAUGUCCUCAUCGGAUCGCAUGGUCUGAUGAGGAAAUGGAUUCCGCUCCAGGAGGGCCUCGCGGCCUAUCAGCUUGUUGGUGAGGUAACGGCUCACCAAGGCCUCGACGGGUAGCUGGUCUGAGAGGACGAUCAGCCACACUGGGACUGAGACACGGCCCAG